CCUACGGGAGGCAGCAGUAGGGAAUCUUCCACAAUGGACGAAAGUCUGAUGGAGCAACGCCGCGUGAGUGAAGAAGGGAUUCGGCUCGUAAAGCUCUGUUGGUAGUGAAGAAAGAUAGAGGUAGUAACUGGCCUUUAUUUGACGGUAAUUACUUAGAAAGUCACGGCUAACUACGUGCCAGCAGCCGCGGUAAUACGUAGGUGGCAAGCGUUGUCCGGAUUUAUUGGGCGUAAAGCGAGUGCAGGCGGUUCAAUAAGUCUGAUGUGAAAGCCUUCGGCUCAACCGGAGAAUUGCAUCAGAAACUGUUGAACUUGAGUGCAGAAGAGGAGAGUGGAACUCCAUGUGUAGCGGGGGAAUGCGUAGAUAUAUGGAAGAACACCAGUGGCGAAGGCGGCUCUCUGGUCUGCAACUGACGCUGAGGCUCGAAAGCAUGGGUAGCGAACAGGAUUAGAUACCCUAGUAGUC
This 465-nucleotide ribosomal RNA is filed under the name uncultured Lactobacillus sp. Its description in RNAcentral is "bacterial SSU rRNA". It matches the Rfam family "Bacterial small subunit ribosomal RNA", at positions 338 to 795 of the family's 1533-position model. Lineage: Bacteria; Bacillati; Bacillota; Bacilli; Lactobacillales; Lactobacillaceae. The record is from RNAcentral.